UACGGAGGGUGCAAGCGUUAUCCGGAUUUACUGGGUUUAAAGGGUGCGUAGGUGGGUAGGUAAGUCAGUGGUGAAAUCUUCGAGCUUAAACUCGGAAACUGCCAUUGAUACUAUUUAUCUUGAAUACUCUGGAGGUAAGCGGAAUAUGUCGAUGUAGCGGUGAAAUGCUUAGAUAUGACAUAGAACACCAAUUGCGAAGGCAGCUUACUAC
This 211-nucleotide ribosomal RNA is filed under the name uncultured bacterium. RNAcentral's name for it is "partial 16S ribosomal RNA". It matches the Rfam family "Bacterial small subunit ribosomal RNA", at positions 524 to 732 of the family's 1533-position model. The record is from RNAcentral.